RNAcentral lists this ribosomal RNA (460 nucleotides) under uncultured bacterium. Its description in RNAcentral is "partial 16S ribosomal RNA". It matches the Rfam family "Bacterial small subunit ribosomal RNA", at positions 338 to 795 of the family's 1533-position model. The record is from RNAcentral.
CCUACGGGUGGCAGCAGUGAGGAAUAUUGGUCAAUGGGAGAGAUCCUGAACCAGCCAAGCCGCGUGCGGGAAGACGGCCCUAUGGGUUGUAAACUUCUUUUGUCGGAGAACAACACCCCUUACGUGUCCCGGUUUGCGUGUAUCCUAUGAAAAAGCAUCGGCUAAAUCCGUGCCAGCAGCCGCGGUAAUACGGAGGAUGCGAGCGUUAUCCGGAUUUAUUGGGUUUAAAGGGUGCGUAGGCCGGACGUUAAGCGGGCGGUGAAAUUUCCGGGCUCAACCCGGGCCUUGCAGUGGGAACUGGCAGGCUUGAGUUGGCGAGAAGUAGGCGGAAUGCGUGGUGUAGCGGUGAAAUGCUUAGAUAUGACGCAGAACUCUGAUUGCGAAGGCAGCGUGCCGGAGCCGGACUGACGCUGAGGCACGAAAGCGUGGGGAUCGAACAGGAUUAGAUACCCGAGUAGUC